RNAcentral lists this ribosomal RNA (254 nucleotides) under uncultured bacterium. RNAcentral's name for it is "partial 16S ribosomal RNA". It matches the Rfam family "Bacterial small subunit ribosomal RNA", at positions 524 to 776 of the family's 1533-position model. The record is from RNAcentral.
UACGUAGGGACCGAGCGUUGUCCGGAAUCAUUGGGCGUAAAGAGCUCGUAGGCGGUUCGGCAAGUCGGGUGUGAAAACUCCAGGCUCAACCUGGAGACGCCACCCGAUACUGCUGUGACUCGAGUCCGGUAGGGGACCACGGAAUUCCUGGUGUAGCGGUGAAAUGCGCAGAUAUCAGGAGGAACACCGGUGGCGAAGGCAGAUCUCUGGGCCGUAACUGACGCUGAGGAGCGAAAGCAUGGGGAGCGAACAGG